This is a long non-coding RNA of Callithrix jacchus (white-tufted-ear marmoset), 7829 nucleotides long. RefSeq lists it as uncharacterized. The record is from RefSeq and is a predicted model, not a curated record. NCBI's taxonomy places the organism in Eukaryota, Metazoa, Chordata, Mammalia, Primates, Cebidae.
ACGGGGAUGGGCAUGGAGAAAGAGGAAUAUCACUUCAGGUUCAAGUUGCUAGUUUUGCAGAGUGUAAAAUUACUGCACAAGUCCCAGAGAAUAAACAGAGUUAACACCCCAUUAAAUACAAUGGACUUUCAACGUGAGCUCCAGACGUGCCUAGAUUGAAACUAGCUGAGCAGAGCUGGCCCGUGAGUAAAAUGUGUCACGUGCACUGCCUUCAUGCUUCCAAAGAGAAAAAUCCAGCGCAGGGAGAAGAAAGCGCCAGCAGCAGCUCCUGCAGGCUCAGGGCUGAGGAUCCGGUAAUGAAGUCUUUCUAGAAGAAUACUGUGCUCACAGCUGUUGGAUCAUUUGUCAGAUCCUACUGUAAUUAGCUACUGUGAGCUUCGGUGGAGAGACUUCCUCAAGUUUGCACCCAAAACACAUAACGGAGUUUCACUCGUUACCCAGCCUGGAGUGCAAUGGCACGAACUCGGCUCACCGCAACCUCCGCCUCCUGUGUUCAAGCAAUUAUCCUUCCUCAGCCUCCCGAGUAGCUGGGACUACAGACGUGCGCCACCAUGCCCAGCUAAUUUUUUGUAUUUUUAGUAGAGACGGGGUUUCACCAUGUUGACCAGGAUGGUCUCCAUCUCUUGACCUCAUGAUCCACCAACCUCGGCCUCCCAAAGCGCUGGGAUCAUAGGCGUGAGCCACCGCUCCCGGCUGGAACUUCUUGACCAACAGCAGAGAGGUGUGUCUUGCCCAGGGGCUCACCUGUUAUUGGGAUUUCAAGUUUAGCCAGUCUAAAACAGAAUCCCUGAGUUUUCUUCCGUGAGGUUUCAUACUUUAGUCGGCAAUCUCAGGCCAUGGCACCUCUAUCUACUACCCAGUUUCCCAAGCCAAAAAAAGCGGAGUCAUUCUUUUUCCUUUUCUUUGAUGGAGAUGGGGUUUCACCAUGUUGCCCAAGUUGGUCUCGAACUCCUGGGCUCAAGCAAUCCACCGGCGUUGGCCUCCCAAACUGCUGGGAUUACAGAUGUGAGCCACUGUGCCAGGAAAAACGGAGUCAUUCUUGAUUCUUUUUCUUUUGUUCUCCACAUCCCAUUCCUCAGCAAUUCCUGUCCGUUAUACUCCCAAACUAUAUCCUGAGUUAAUCUGUCCUUCCCCACCCACUCUAGGCUAAGCCACUGUCAUUUCUCACUUGGGCUCCUGUGCCAGCCUUCUCACUAGUCUGAUUCUUCUCUUGUCUCCCCUGCAAUUCUCUACUGGCAGCCACAGUGACCCUUUAUUUUAUUUUUGAGACAGAGUCUUGCUCUGUCACCCAGGCUGGAGUACAGUGGUACAAUCUUGGCUCACUGCAACCCCCACCUCCUGGGUUCAAGGGAUUCUCAUGCCUCAGACUCCUGAGUGGCUGGGAUUACAGAUGUGCACCACCAUGUCCAGCUAGUUGUUCUUUUUGUUUUUGUAUUUUUAGUAGACAAAUGAACAUGGUUUUACCAUGUUGGCCAGGCCGGUCUCCAAUUCCUGGCCUCAAGUGAUCUGCUCACCCCCACCUCCCGAAGUGCCGGGACUACAGGCCUGAGUCACUGUACUUGGCCCAGUGACCCUUUAAAAACAGAAAUCAGAUCUUGUCACUCAGUUGUGUAGAACUCUCUUCACAUUACACUUAUGACAAACUACACACUCUUUAUGGAACUUCUGAGGAUCUACGUGACCUUGCUAUUGCCUGCCUUGCAGCUCCAAAGCCUCUCAUUUACUCUGCUCCAGCCUCACCAGCUUUUUCCUACGCCUUGAAAUUCCAGAGCUCAUUCCUGCCUCAGGACUUCAGCCUUUCUAUACCCUCAGCCAUGCAUUGGGCUGGCUCCUUCGAAUCAAUCUGGUCUUUCUUCAGAAGAUACUUUUUCAGAAAGUCCUUUUCUCUCCCCUAGCUUAUAUCAUCUCCUCUUAUCUAGGUGAUUAGCUGAGAUGAGUUUGUUAGGUUACUUGUUUAUAGUCUCUUCUUCCCCAGCAAUAUGUAAGCUCUAUGGGGGCUAGGACCCAGAACAAUUCCUAACACAAGAAAGAUAUUCAACAGACAUUGCUGAAUAGGUCUAAUUCAAGUUCUCAGACCCACCGUACUAUGCUACGGCUUUGAACUCAUGCCACUCCCAUUAGUUAUCUCUAAGACAAUAUGGGUACAGCAGAAUGUAGAGUCACAGCUAUCUGGGUAUGAACCAUUUCUCUACCUGUUCCCUGUUCUGUAACUGCACAAAUCACUUCUCCUAUCUGUGUCUUAAUUUACUUACUGUAAAAAUGAGUAUAGUAGUCCUACUCUAUAAAGUUGUGGGAGGAAUUACAUAAUUUAUAUACAAAGCACAGCAGAGUGGCCUCUAGUGUGUGUCUAAUUGCCAUUUCUCUUUUCCCUUGAGUCUUCCACAAAUUAUAACAGUUCAUUUUUAAGUGUCUUCUACUCUGUGACAUGCACUAUUCUAAGUGUUUUACAUGGAUUGACUAAUUUAAUCUACAUAAAAACUCUACAGGACAGAAAUGAUAAAUAUCACUACGUUACAGAUGAGAAAACUUAACAGAGUGGCUUAUGCAACUCGCCUAAGGUCAUAUAAGAGGAAAGCAGCAGACUCCAGACCUCAACCCAGCAGUGUUGUCCAAUUUCAGAGGUAGUAAAACAGUCAUUGACUAUCUUUACUGUGAUCCCAUGGUAAGAAACACAUUUUACAUCAUAAGUAUGUGUAGACAUGUAACUGUAUCUAAAGUAUAAAUAUGUUUCACAAAAUAAUAACCUUACUACCUGUGUGCAUUGAUAGUUUCUCUUCAUUUUAAUUUUUAAAAAUAUUUGACCAACUUACUGAUUUAAUGAUCUAUUAAUGAGUCAAAACUGCACUUUGAAAAACUGCUUGUCUAAAUUACAAUUUAUCCAACUGUUCUGACCUUUCAGCUACCUCAACCUCUACCAGAAAAACUGAUGGCUAUCAGUUCACAUUUUCGUAUUUCAUUUAUAUUCCAGAUGAAGUCCUUAUUAAUUAUUAAGAUACUGAUCACCCACCCUGACUCAGAUCUACUCCCCAUUGCAAACUGUUUUGCAUUUAUGGAAAAAUAUCUCAUCAGGGAGUCCAGCCAUCUCUAAGAAGUUCAGUCCGUUCCAUCUGGCUACUCAACUGGAAGGACGAUGGAGUUUUGUCAUGCUGCCUAGACUGGUUUUGAACUCCUGGGCUCAAGCGAUCUGCCUGCUCUGACCUCCCAAAGUGCUAGGCUUACAGGAGUUUCAGAAGGCAGAACAGAAAGAGAUACUUCAGCUUACCUCAUCUUCAUGCCUCUGUUCAUUGCCUUCUGCUGCAUUUGAAGACUCACUCGGAAGCAACUGACCUUGGGAGAGAUCCUCCACAAAUUCUGGAUUGUUGGUGGAUGAUGUGGCACCACUACUGUAUGGAACAUCUGGGUGAUUUAACCUGAAUAGACGAAAGUAUCAACAACACAAAAACUCAACCUAUUUACCAAGGUUCUAGACAAAUUUCCCUGCCAGCAAAAGAACAUGCCAGUCCUUGAGUUAAUUCUCCCAAUAGUCUGUAUAAAUGAAAAAAAUGUCUUCACAGAAGUUACAGAGUGUUUUAAAAAACUGGUUGCAGUGCUUGAUUAAACCAGGUCAGUUCCAUGAAGACAUCUCCUACCAAAAACAACUACAAUCUUUUUCCGAAAAGAUGAUCUCCCCUCAACAGUGCAGUGGUGUGACUUCAUGUUUUACUUCUGAACAUGCAAUAGAAUCUGAUUUAAAUGCUACCUUUCAUGUAUCUCCAAGAUGAGUUAGCAAACCAGAUCUCACCCUUCUGAAGAGUGAAUACAAGAAGGUACAGAUGAUGGUAGGGUCUUAGAUGGACUUACCUUAUUACAUGUGGACAAAGGAAUAGAAGAAAAGGAGUGAGGUAGAAAAACCAAGAGAAGAGACUGAGAAGACAUUAAGAGACCUGGAGAGAAGACUAUUGCAGAGGCCAAGGAAGGAAGACUUUUGAGAAGGUAGCUAAUCAAGUAAAAAGCUGCAGAUGUUAAAUAAGAUAGGCCAAAAAGUAUCUGCUAUGAAGGUCACUGGCAAUUUUAGGAAGUAUAGUUUUAGUGGAAUUAGGAAAAUAAAUACUAGAUUACAGUGGACUGAGAAAUAAAUGAAAACAGGAAGCAGACUGCCCUGGGAAUGAAAGAAAUUAUACUUUUCUGACCCUUUCUAGGAAACAUAAAUAAUUUUAGCAUGAGAUUCCCACAUUUUUGAGGUCCUAAAAAAGAGUAUGUAAAAGAAGCUAUGAAAUCAAUGCAGAUCAUUUUCUCUGAAAAGCGGUACCAUCGAGAUCCAGUGUGAUCUCUGCAGUGCUGUUUUCUAAAUAUUUCAAUCAUUUUGGAUGUGUUAAGCAACUUGUUCUUUCACUGUCAUUCUCAUUUCAACUGUGCCAUCAGUUUUUAAGUUAUUAAUUCUUGUACAUUCUUAUUUAGUAAAAUAAGAGAACUAGGUUUGGGAAAGAGUAGCAAUCCCAUGAAUCCCUGACUUAAGUGGGCAGGAAUGGUCAAAAGCAUCACAUGCCUUCUUGAUGACAUGUUGAAGACUAGGAAAAAAAAGGAGAUCUUUUGUUACCAUGAAUAAACUAUCCAUGUUCCUAGCUAAAGACAACAACUCUUCUAUUUGCACCCUUGAUCUCACACCCUCUUGCCUACAAACCAAAGGGCAGAUUUUCAGCAAUUCUGUCCUUCCUGGCAACACCAAUGCUUUUCUCUCCAUAGGAUCAGCCUAAUCAGCAUAUACGUAUAUUAAUUCUCUUAGCACGAAACUAAAUGAAAAGAAAAAAAACUCAAUCCAACUUCCAGUUGAGGUCCCAAUUUUUCUUCUUUCCUUUAUAGCAAAACCCCUGGAAAGAACUUGUUUAUAUGUAUUGACUUAAAUUUCUCUCCUUGCUUAAACCCACUUCAAGGGAGAUAUGUGCUUAUAAGUCUUGUCAAAGCCACCAAUGACCCCCAUGCUAAAUCCAGUGUCAUUUCUCAGCCACCAUCUUACCUGAUGUACCAGAAGUAUCUGAUACAGUUGAUUUUUUUCCUCCCUUGAAAUAUCUUUUUUUUUCUCACUUGGGUUCCAGGACCCCUCACUCCUCUGGCUUUUCUGUUACCUUUCUAGCAACUCACUUUAGACUCUGUUGACCCUUCCUGUUCUGUCCACCUUUCUUUUUUUUUUUUUGAGACAGAGUCUUGCUCUGUCACCCAGGCUGGAGUGCAGUGGCACAAUCACAGCUGACUGCAACCUCCGUCUCCUGGGUUGAAGUGAUUCUCCUGUUUCAGCCUCCUGAGUCGUUGGGAUUAUAGGUACAUGCCACCAUACCUGGCUAAUUUUUGUAUUUUUAGUAGAGAUGGGGUUUCACUCUGUUGGCCAGGCUGGUCUCAAACUCCUGACCUCAGGUGAUCCACCCACCUCAGUCUCCUAAAGUGCUGGAAUUACAGGUGUGAGCCACUGCACCUGGUCUCUAUCUGACUUUUAAAUGCUGGUGUAUCCCAGAGUUCAGGAUUUAGAGCUCUUCUUUCUUCCAUCUAUAGAGUGCUCAUUUCUUUGGUGAUCUCAUUCAGUCUCAUGGCUUUAAAGGUCAGUUAUGCUGGUAAGUCCCAACUUUCUCUGUCUAGCCUAAACUUCCCCUAAAAGCAGGACCUGAUAUCAAACUGCCUAUUUGACAUCUCCACUUAGAUAUCUAAUAAGCAUCUCUAAUUUAAAAUUUCCCUCCUACACUUGUUUGGUUUUCCCCUUCUAAGCUAAUGGCAACUUCACCCCUCCAGUUGCUUACGCCAAAACUUUGAGUAGUUUUUGACUGCUUUUUUUCUCCCUUCUCACAUUGCUUACCUGGUCUUUCGGGCAAAUCAUGUUUGGUAUAACUUCAAAAUAUAUCUAAAUUCUAUACUUCUCACCACCCCUCAUUCCCAUUAUCUUUGAAACACAGUCCAAUGAGGUUUUUAUCCUUACUAUUCCACCAAAAACACCUCGCGAAAGUCACCACAUGAUGGUUCUUCAGGCCAUCAUUUGUCUCCUGAAUUAUUUUAAGAGCCUCCUAACUGGUGUCCUUGUUCCAGCCCCGGCUCCCUUCACUCUAUCCUCAAUACAACAGAGGGAGUUUAUUAAACAGUAAGUCAGAUCAUAUCUUUCUUUUUGAAACCCUCCAAUGCUUUCCCACUUCAUUCAGAGUAAAAGUUAAAGGGUUUAUUUUGAUCUGUAAAUAAUAUUUCGAACCCUAUGAUCUAGUUUCUUCUUACCCAAAGUAUGGGCCUCAUACGAGCAGAACUGGCAUUCUCUGGGAGCUUGUUAGACAUGUAGACUCUCUGAUCCUAAGUCAGAUUUGCUAAAUCAGAAUCUGCAUUUUCAUCAUCUGUCUAGGCAAUUCGUAUGUUUGAGAGGAACUACUGCCUCUCCUGCAGCUAUGUGCUGCUCUAGUCACACUGGCCUCUUGGCUAUUUUGAUAAGAUGGAAACUCUCCUGCCUCAGGGCUUUUGCACCUACUGCUCCCAUAAUCUUCCACAGAAAACUGCAUGCUAGUUGCCUUAUUUUCUUCAGGUCUUUAUUCAAGUCACUUUCUCAUUAAACACUCUCUGACCCAUCCUGUCUAAAACUACAUCCCCAACCCCUUCCUAUACCUUUUCUCCACUUUUUAAAAUUUAUCCUGUUUAUUGUCUGACUCAACAGUAGAAUUUAAACUUUAAAGGGCUAGGACUUUUAUCUGUUUUGAUCAAUGCUUUAUAUCUAAUGCCUGGAACAAUGGCACACAGUAGACACUAGAAAGUUUUUAUUGAAUGAAUAAGUAACUAAGCAGCCUUUAAAAUAGUCUUGGAGAACAUUUUCAUCUGAGUAGUGAGGUCAAAAGGCAGAUAUUAAUGAAGUGAGAAAUAAAUGUGAGGGAACGAAACAGAAUUAUAAAGUUUAGUCUAUUUUUUAAAAAGCCCUAAAGAAUAUUAAAAUAAUUCAUCUUAGGGAUUAGCUAGCACUUUAUUAGUGAACACAUUUUCUCUUUGGCAAAUAUUUUCUAACUAUCUAGAAAAGAUAAAAAUCCAAGUGGAACAGAGAUUUUCAAGAAAAGAGGUGGACUACUGUUAUUAACCUUUUUCUAUAUUUCUUUACAUAUUUGUCCAGAGAUUCCAUGGAAGGAGAAGGGGGUGGAGUGGGAAAAGGAACAGAAGUCAGCUAAAGUUCCUAAGCAUCUGGAAUAAAAAACCAUAUUAAAAAAAUCUGAUCUUUAGGAAAAGACUAUUUUAAUAUCUGUGGCAAUUUGAACAGAAAAUGCAUUUUUUUGUAGAGCUAGCUUUACGGCAGGUAUUUCCUUAAUGGUGACUAUAUAAUUUCCUUAACUGGAGUCACCAAUGUUUGCUAAAUCCCACAUAUUGUUGUACCAGUUCAGAAAACCCGGAGCACUGCACAAGAUAAUUGAAUGCAGAUUAUAAAGUGGUUUAUGAUGGCUGUCACUCUCUUUUCAAAGUGAAACAAAUGCACCCUCUAUUCUUAUCAUAUCAAACUGCCUCUUUAGGACCUCUUCUUUGGUUAGAAGCUUUGUUUUGAUGCCUAUGGAGCGGUCCAAUGUCCCCAAACAUGUGCUUACCCAGUGGUAGCCAGAUCAUUACUCUCCUUGGAGCCAUCUUCAUCUGCAAAAAGGGGCGGUAGAGUGGAACUAGUCAUCAAGUUUUCCAUCCCUCUGAAAGGAAGAGAGAAUUUAAAAACAAAAUUAAUGGCUUAAUUACUUCCAGUUCAAGUUCCACUAAUUUAGAAGCCAGCCUUCCUGAACUUUAUCAUUUAAACAACAGAAUAGAAACUGACCUACAUAUUUAUUUCCUUGACUUGGACACAUCAAUUUAAACUGUAUGGUGAA